This 407-nucleotide ribosomal RNA is filed under the name Verrucomicrobiota bacterium. RNAcentral describes it as "Verrucomicrobia bacterium partial 16S ribosomal RNA". It matches the Rfam family "Bacterial small subunit ribosomal RNA", at positions 355 to 776 of the family's 1533-position model. Lineage: Bacteria; Pseudomonadati; Verrucomicrobiota. The record is from RNAcentral.
UGGGGAAUAUUGGACAAUGGAGGAAACUCUGAUCCAGCAAUUCUGUGUGUGUGAAGAAGGUUUUAGGACUGUAAAACACUUUUAGUAGGGAAGAAAAAAAUGACGGUACCUACAGAAGAAGCAACGGCUAAAUACGUGCCAGCAGCCGCGGUAAUACGUAUGUUGCGAGCGUUAUCCGGAAUUAUUGGGCUUAAAGGGCAUCUAGGCGGUAAGACAAGUUGAAGGUGAAAACCUGUGGCUCAACCAUAGGCUUGCCUACAAAACUGUUGAACUAGAGUACUGGAAAGGUGGGUGGAACUACACGAGUAGAGGUCAAAUUCGUAGAUAUGUGUAGGAAUGCCGAUGAUGAAGAUAACUCACUGGACAGAAACUGACGCUGAAGUGCGAAAGCUAGGGGAGCAAACAGG